GCCGCCUUAGCUCAGUCGGACAGAGCGACGCACUCGUAAUGCGUAGGUCGGGGGUUCGAUUCCCCCAGGCGGCU
Molecule: transfer RNA, 74 nt
Filed under: Halopolyspora algeriensis
Lineage: Bacteria; Bacillati; Actinomycetota; Actinomycetes
Rfam family: tRNA
About the family: Transfer RNA (tRNA) molecules are approximately 80 nucleotides in length. Their secondary structure includes four short double-helical elements and three loops (D, anti-codon, and T loops). Further hydrogen bonds mediate the characteristic L-shaped molecular structure. tRNAs have two regions of fundamental functional importance: the anti-codon, which is responsible for specific mRNA codon recognition, and the 3' end, to which the tRNAs corresponding amino acid is attached (by aminoacyl-tRNA synthetases). tRNAs cope with the degeneracy of the genetic code in two manners: having more than one tRNA (with a specific anti-codon) for a particular amino acid; and 'wobble' base-pairing, i.e. permitting non-standard base-pairing at the 3rd anti-codon position.
Source: Rfam by way of RNAcentral